This 465-nucleotide ribosomal RNA is filed under the name uncultured bacterium. Its description in RNAcentral is "partial 16S ribosomal RNA". It matches the Rfam family "Bacterial small subunit ribosomal RNA", at positions 28 to 507 of the family's 1533-position model. The record is from RNAcentral.
GAUGAACGCUGGCGGCGUGCUUAACACAUGCAAGUCGAACGGAAAGGCCCAAGCUUGCUUGGGUACUCGAGUGGCGAACGGGUGAGUAACACGUGGGUGAUCUGCCCUGCACUUCGGGAUAAGCCUGGGAAACUGGGUCUAAUACCGGAUAGGACCACAUUUUGGAUGGUGUGGUGGAAAGUUUUUCGGUGUGGGAUGAGCUCGCGGCCUAUCAGCUUGUUGGUGGGGUAAUGGCCUACCAAGGCGUCGACGGGUAGCCGGCCUGAGAGGGUGUACGGCCACAUUGGGCCUGAGAUACGGCCCAGACUCCUACGGGCGGCAGCAGUGGGGAAUAUUGCACAAUGGGCGCAAGCCUGAUGCAGCGACGCCGCGUGGGGGAUGACGGCCUUCGGGUUGUAAACUCCUUUCGCUAGGGACGAAGCGCAAGUGACGGUACCUGGAGAAGAAGCACCGGCUAACUACGUG